This 1452-nucleotide ribosomal RNA is filed under the name Vreelandella titanicae. Its description in RNAcentral is "bacterial SSU rRNA". It matches the Rfam family "Bacterial small subunit ribosomal RNA". The record is from RNAcentral. Lineage: Bacteria; Pseudomonadati; Pseudomonadota; Gammaproteobacteria; Oceanospirillales; Halomonadaceae.
GGAUCCCGUUAUUGCCAAACUAAACAUGCCAAGUCGAGCGGUAACAGGGGUAGCUUGCUACCCGCUGACGAGCGGCGGACGGGUGAGUAAUGCAUAGGAAUCUGCCCGAUAGUGGGGGAUAACCUGGGGAAACCCAGGCUAAUACCGCAUACGUCCUACGGGAGAAAGGGGGCUCCGGCUCCCGCUAUUGGAUGAGCCUAUGUCGGAUUAGCUAGUUGGUAAGGUAAUGGCUUACCAAGGCAACGAUCCGUAGCUGGUCUGAGAGGAUGAUCAGCCACAUCGGGACUGAAACACGGCCCGAACUCCUACGGGAGGCAGCAGUGGGGAAUAUUGGACAAUGGGGGCAACCCUGAUCCAGCCAUGCCGCGUGUGUGAAGAAGGCCCUCGGGUUGUAAAGCACUUUCAGCGAGGAAAAACGCCUAUCGGUUAAUACCCGGUAGGAAAGACAUCACUCGCAAAAGAAGCACCGGCUAACUCCGUGCCAGCAGCCGCGGUAAUACGGAGGGUGCAAGCGUUAAUCGGAAUUACUGGGCGUAAAGCGCGCGUAGGUGGCUUGAUAAGCCGGUUGUGAAAGCCCCGGGCUCAACCUGGGAACGGCAUCCGGAACUGUCAGGCUAGAGUGCAGGAGAGGAAGGUAGAAUUCCCGGUGUAGCGGUGAAAUGCGUAAAGAUCGGGAGGAAUACUAGUGGCAAAGGCGGCCUUCUGGACUGACACUGACACUGAGGUGCAAAAGCGUGGGUAGCAAAACAGGAUUAGAUACCCUGGUAGUCCACGCCGUAAACGAUGUCGACCAGCCGUUGGGUGCCUAGAGCACUUUUGUGCCGAAGUUAACGCGAUAAGUCGACCGCCUGGGGAGUACCGCCGCAAGGUUAAAACUCAAAUGAAUUGACGGGGGCCCGCACAAGCGGUGGAGCAUGUGGUUUAAUUCGAUGCAACGCGAAGAACCUUACCUACCCUUGACAUCUACAGAAGCCGGAAGAGAUUCUGGUGUGCCUUCGGGAACUGUAAGACAGGUGCUGCAUGGCUGUCGUCAGCUCGUGUUGUGAAAUGUUGGGUUAAGUCCCGUAACGAGCGCAACCCUUGUCCUUAUUUGCCAGCGAGUAAUGUCGGGAACUCUAAGGAGACUGCCGGUGACAAACCGGAGGAAGGUGGGGACGACGUCAAGUCAUCAUGGCCCUUACGGGUAGGGCUACACACGUGCUACAAUGGCCGGUACAAAGGGCUGCGAGCUCGCGAGAGUCAGCGAAUCCCUUAAAGCCGGUCUCAGUCCGGAUCGGAGUCUGCAACUCGACUCCGUGAAGUCGGAAUCGCUAGUAAUCGUGAAUCAGAAUGUCACGGUGAAUACGUUCCCGGGCCUUGUACACACCGCCCGUCACACCAUGGGAGUGGACUGCACCAGAAGUGGUUAGCCUAACGCAAGAGGGCGAACCACAUAUCGGUAAGUCCUUUGGC